AACGCGAAGAACCUUACCUACCCUUGACAUGUACGGAAGUCCGCUGAGAGGUGGAUGUGCCCGAAAGGGAGCCGUAACACAGGUGCUGCAUGGCUGUCGUCAGCUCGUGUCGUGAGGUGUUGGGUUAAGUCCCGCAACGAGCGCAACCCUUGUCCCUAGUUGCUACGCAAGAGCACUCCAGGGAGACUGCCGGUGACAAACCGGAGGAAGGUGGGGAUGACGUCAAGUCCUCAUGGCCCUUAUGGGUAGGGCUUCACACGUCAUACAAUGGUCGGAACAGAGGGUUGCCAAGCCGCGAGGUGGAGCCAAUCCCAGAAAACCGAUCGUAGUCCGGAUCGCAGUCUGCAACUCGACUGCGUGAAGCUGGAAUCGCUAGUAAUCGCGGAUCAGCAUGCCGCGGUGAAUACGUUCCC
RNAcentral lists this ribosomal RNA (413 nucleotides) under uncultured bacterium. RNAcentral describes it as "bacterial SSU rRNA". It matches the Rfam family "Bacterial small subunit ribosomal RNA", at positions 958 to 1375 of the family's 1533-position model. The record is from RNAcentral.